Molecule: ribosomal RNA, 383 nt
Filed under: uncultured eukaryote
Lineage: Eukaryota
Description: partial 18S ribosomal RNA
Rfam family: Eukaryotic small subunit ribosomal RNA
Source: RNAcentral
CAAUAGCGUAUAUUAAAGUUGUUGCAGUUAAAAAGCUCGUAGUUGGAUUUCUGACAGGAGCGACCGGUCCGAUCAUUUGGUCGUGUACUUUGUGUUGUCUCUAGUCAUCCUUAUGGAGAACGCUUGUGGCAUUAAGUUGUCGCGAGUGGGAACCAUAUCGUUUACUGUGAAAAAAUUAGAGUGUUUAAAGCAGGCAAUUGCUGUGAAUACGUUAGCAUGGAAUAAUAAGAUAGGACUUUGGUACUAUUUUGUUGGUUUACAUACCAAGGUAAUGAUUAAGAGGGACAGUUGGGGGUAUUCGUAUUUAAUUGACAGAGGUGAAAUUCUUGGAUUUAUGAAAGACGAACUACUGCGAAAGCAUUUACCAAGGAUGUUUUCAUUAA